AACGAACGCUGGCGGCAUGCCUAACACAUGCAAGUCUAACGAGACCUUCGGGUCUAGUGGCGCACGGGUGCGUAACGCGUGGGAACCUGCCCUUAGGUUCGGAAUAACUCCCCGAAAGGGGUGCUAAUACCGGAUAAUGUCUUCGGACCAAAGAUUUAUCGCCUUUGGAUGGGCCCGCGUUGGAUUAGCUAGUUGGUAGGGUAAAAGCCUACCAAGGCGACGAUCCAUAGCUGGUCUGAGAGGAUGAUCAGCCACACUGGGACUGAGACACGGCCCAGACUCCUACGGGAAGCAGCAGUGGGGAAUAUUGGACAAUGGGCGAAAGCCUGAUCCAGCAAUGCCGCGUGAGUGAUGAAGGCCUUAGGGUUGUAAAGCUCUUUUACCCGGGAUGAUAAUGACAGUACCGGGAGAAUAAGCGCCGGCUAACUCCGUG
RNAcentral lists this ribosomal RNA (433 nucleotides) under uncultured bacterium. RNAcentral's name for it is "partial 16S ribosomal RNA". It matches the Rfam family "Bacterial small subunit ribosomal RNA", at positions 29 to 507 of the family's 1533-position model. The record is from RNAcentral.